This is a long non-coding RNA of Anopheles funestus (African malaria mosquito), 3953 nucleotides long. RefSeq lists it as uncharacterized. The record is from RefSeq and is a predicted model, not a curated record. The transcript is spliced from 4 exons. NCBI's taxonomy places the organism in Eukaryota, Metazoa, Arthropoda, Insecta, Diptera, Culicidae.
CCAAGAAGAAAAUGUAGCCAUUGAUGCCAUCUAUCGACCACAGGUUAAAGAUUGGCGAUCCGUUGGAUACCGACCGAGUUAUAGGCAAAACUUGGUGCAAAAAUGAGCCUUAUGAAAUUUUCAAACUUUUAGAAUUUUUUAAAUUUUCUUAAAUUUUUAAUUCUUUUUUUUAUUUAAAACAAUAUUUGAGUGAAAAGAAACUUAUUUCAACCGAUUGGCAUUAAAAUAAAUCAAUUUAAUUUUUUUUGCAAAAUUUCUCAAAAAAUACGUAAGGGGUAAGCCUUAUGAAAAUUUUGAGUUGAAAAUUUUUAAAAUUUUUUUUUUCGAUUUUUUAUUCUUUUUUGUGUUUUUCGCAUUAUUUGAGUGAAAAGAAACUUAUUGCAACUAAUUCGCAUUAAAAUAUAUCAUUUUUUUAAAUUUUGCUAUAUUGCUCAAAAAAUGGUAUGGAAUUUGGUUCCUCGAAUAACUUCUGGCACAGACGUCUGAGGGCAUGGCCGUCCAAGAAGAAAAUGUAGCCAUUGAUGCCAUCUAUCGACCACAGGUUAAAAAUUGACGAUCCGUUGGAUACCGACCGAGUUAUAGGCAAAACUUGGUGCAAAAAUGAAGAAAAUUUUACUUUUUCUCAAACAGGGUAAGGAACUUGGUUCGUCGAAUAACUUCUGGCGCAGACAUCUGAGGGCACGGCCGUCCAAGAAGAAAAUGUAGCCAUUGAUGCCAUCUAUCGACCACAGGUUAAAGAUUGGCGAUCCGUUGGAUACCGACCGAGUUAUAGGCAAAACUUGGUGCAAAAAUGAGCCUUAUGAAAUUUUCAAACUGUUAGAAUUUUUUUAAUUUUCUUAAAUUUUUUAUUCUUUUUUAUGUUAAAACAAUAUUUGAGUGAAAAGAAACUUAUUUCAACCGAUUGGCAUUAAAAUAAAUCAAUUUAAUUUUUUUUGCAAAAUUUCUCAAAAAAACGUAAGGGGUAAGCCUUAUAAAAUUUUUGAGUUGAAAAUUUUUUUUUAAUUUUUUUCCGAUUUUUUAUUCUUUUUUGUGUUUUUGGCAUUAUUUGAGUGAAAAGAAACUUAUUGCAACUAAUUCGCAUUAACAUAUAUCAAUUUUUUAAAUUUUGCUAUAUUGCUCAAAAAAUGGUAUGGAAUUUGGUUCCUCGAAUAUCUUUUGGCACAGACAUCUGAGGACAUGGCCGUCCAAGAAGAAAAUGUAGCCAUUGAUGCCAUCUAUCGACCACAGGUUAAAGAUUGGCGAUCCGUUGGAUACCGACCGAGUUAUAGGCAAAACUUGGUGCAAAAAUGAGCCUUAUGAAAUUUUCAAACUUUUAGAAUUUUUUUAAUUUUCUUAAACUUUUUAUCCUGUUUUUUUAUUUAAAACAAUAUUUGAGUGAAAAGAAACUUAUUUCAACCGAUUGGCAUUAAAAUAAAUCAAUUUAAUUUUUUUUGCAAAAUUUCUCAAAAAAAACGUAAGGGGUAAGCCCUAUGAAAUUUUUGAGUUGAAAAUUUUUUAAAAUUUUUUUUUCGAUUUUUUAUUCUUUUUUGUGUUUUUCGCAUUAUUUGAGUGAAAAGAAACUUAUUGCAACUAAUUCGCAUUAAAAUAUAUCAAUUUUUUAAAUUUUGCUAUAUUGCUCAAAAAAUGGUAUGGAAUUUGGUUCCUCGAAUAACUUCUGGCACAGACGUCUGAGGGCAUGGCCGUCCAAGAAGAAAAUGUAGCCAUUGAUGCCAUCUAUCGACCACAGGUUAAAGAUUGACGAUCCGUUGGAUACCGACCGAGUUAUAGGCAAAACUUGGUGCAAAAAUGAAGAAAAUUUUACAUUUUCUCAAACAGGGUAAGGAACUUGGUUCCUCGAAUAACUUCUGGCACAGACGUCUGAGGGCAUGGCCGUCCAAGAAGAAAGUGUAGCCAUUGAUUCCAUCUAUCGACCACAGGUUAAAGAUUGGCGAUCCGUUGGAUACCGACCGAGUUAUAGGCAAAACUUGGUGCAAAAAUGAGCCUUAUGAAAUUUUCAAACUUUUAGAAUUUUUUAAAUUUUCUUAAAUUUUUUAUUCUUUUUUUUAUUUAAAACAAUAUUUGAGUGAAAAGAAACUUAUUUCAACCGAUUGGCAUUAAAAUAAAUCAAUUUAUUUUUUUUUGCAAAAUUUCUCAAAAAAAAACGUAAGGGGUAAGCCUUAUGAAAUUUUUGAGUUGAAAAUUUUUUUAAUUUUUUUUUCGAUUUUUUAUUCUUUUUUGUGUUUUUCGCAUUAUUUGAGUGAAAAGAAACUUAUUGCAACUAAUUCGCAUUAAAAUAUAUCAAUUUUUUAAAUUUUGCUAUAUUGCUCAAAAAAUGGUAUGGAACUUGGUUCCUCGAAUAACUUCUGGCGCAGACAUCUGAGGGCACGGCCGUCCAAGAAGAAAAUGUAGCCAUUGAUACCAUCUAUCGACCACAGGUUAAAGAUUGGCGAUCCGUUGGAUACCGACCGAGUUAUAGGCAAAACUUGGUGCAAAAAUGAAGAAAAUUUUACAUUUUCUCAAACAGGGUAAGGAACUUGGUUCGUUGAAUAACUUCUGACGCAGACAUCUGCGGACAUGACCGUCCAAGAAGAAAAUGUAGCCAUUGAUGCCAUCUAUCGACCACAGGUUAAAGAUUGGUGAUCCGUUGGAUACCGACCGAGUUAUAGGCAAAACUUGGUGCAAAAAUGAGCCUUAUGAAAUUUUCAAACUGUUAGAAUUUUUUAAAUUUUCUUAAAUUUUUUAUUCUUUUUUUUAUGUAAAACAAUAUUUGAGUGAAAAGAAACUUAUUUCAACCGAUUGGCAUUAAAAUAAAUCAAUUUAAUUUUUUUUGCAAAAUUCUCAAAAAAACGUAAGGGGUAAGCCUUAUAAAAUUUUUGAGUUGAAAUUUUUUUUUUAAUUUUUUCCGAUUUUUUAUUCUUUUUUGUGUAUAAAGCAUUAUUUGAGUGAAAAGAAACUUAUUUCAACCAAUUCGUAUUAAAAUAAAUCAAUUUAUAAAAUUUUGCUAAAUUUCCCAAAAAUAAGCUAGACUGUGCUAACUUUCUAGUCAUCACAUUGCUGAAUGGAACCAAUAAAAUGCUAUCCCGAAUACUUUUCUGCAGACUUGCUCCCCUUUUCUCAUAUUUAUUCGGAAGUUACUAAUCUGCAUUUGUUGGAGGUAAAUCGACCCCCGACCAAAUCUUUACUCCACGGCAGAUCCUCCAGAAGUGCCGAGAGCAUCAGAUCCCUACGCACCACCUAUUCAUUUCACCACUUUAAGGCGGCCUACGAUACCAUAGAUCGGACCGAAUUAUGGAACACCAUGCAGUAGUACACAUUCCUUGGGAAGCUGGUACGGCUGUUGAAGGCCACUAUGGAUGGGUUGCAGCGCAAGGUGAGAGUAUCGAAAAUGCUGUCGGAAUCGUUUGAAUCUCACCGGGGUCUGAGGCAAGAGCAUGGAGUCUCCUGUUUGCUGUUUAACACCGCUCUGAAGGGCCUGCGGAUGACAUCGAAAUCAUCGGACGAACAUCUGCGGCGGUGUACGAGGUCGAUACUAUUAGAUUGAGGUUCAAUACGACGAAGACGAUCUACUUGCUUGCCGGCUCUGACCGUCUCGGAAGCAGAGUAUCAGUUGACGGCGACGAUCUCGAGGUGAUAGAGGAGUUCUGCUACCUUGGUACGAUCGUAACUUCGGACAACAACAUGAGCAGCGAAAUCCGAAGGCGCACUACGGGCUCCACAAACUCCUGCGAUCCAGAAGGCUCCAGCAACACACGAAAUGCAGGAUAUAUCGUACACUGAUACGUCAGGUAGUCCUCUACGAAUACGAGACCUGGACUACGCUAACGGAGGACGCCAUUUUCGGACGGACUAUCUUUGGCGGUGUGUGUGAGCAGGGCGUGUGGAGAAGGAGAAUGAACCACGAGCUAGCUGAGCUGUUUGGCGGUGCAGAUAUCCUGAAGGUUGUUAAAUCCGGAAGGAUACGAUGCCUGGGACAC